This 2292-nucleotide ribosomal RNA is filed under the name human gut metagenome. RNAcentral's name for it is "bacterial LSU rRNA". It matches the Rfam family "Bacterial large subunit ribosomal RNA", at positions 3 to 2318 of the family's 2925-position model. The record is from RNAcentral.
UUAAGUAAGGAAGGGCGUACGGCGAAUGCCUGGCCACUCGAAACUGAAGAAGGACGCGCCAAACUGCGAAAAGCUCCGUGAAGCUGUAAGGAAGCGAAGAAGCGGAGGUGUCCGAAUGGGGGAACCCGGCAGCAGACAUGAGCUGUCAUCUGCAGGUGAAUACAUGGCCUGCAAGAGAGGUACCCGGCGAACUGAAACAUCUAAGUAGCCGGAGGAAAAGAAAACAACAGUGAUUCCCUGAGUAGCGGCGAGCGAAAGGGGAGAAGCCCAAACCGGUUGAAGGACCGGGGUUGAAGGACCAUGACAUGGCAAGAACGAGGAUAGGAGAACGGGAUCGAAAGCCCGGCCGAAGAAGGUGAAAGCCCUGUAACCGAAAUCCGAGCAAAGCCUAAUGGGAUCCUGAGUACGGCGAGACACGAGGAAUCUUGUCGGAAGCAGGCGGGACCAUCCGCCAAGGCUAAAUAUAAACGAGUGAGCGAUAGUGAACCAGUACCGUGAGGGAAAGGUGAAAAGAACCGCGGGAGCGGAGUGAAAGAGAACCUGAAACCGUAUGCCUACAAGAAGUCAGAGCCCGUUAAGGGGUGAUGGCGUGCCUUUUGUAGAAUGAACCGGCGAGUUGCGACAGACUGCGAGGUUAAGGAGGAAAGACCGGAGCCGAAGCGAAAGCGAGUCUUAAGAGGGCGAAAGUAGGAUGUUGCAGACCCGAAACCGGGUGAUCUAGCCAUGAGCAGGUUGAAGUUGAGGUGAAACUCAAUGGAGGACCGAACCGACUACCGUUGAAAAGUUAGCGGAUGACUUGUGGCUAGGGGAGAAAUUCCAAUCGAACCCGGAGAUAGCUGGUUCUCCCCGAAAUAGCUUUAGGGCUAGCGUCGGAAAGAACCUUAGUGAAGGUAGAGCACUGAAUGUGUGAUGGCCCCAUCCCGGGGUACUGAAUACAAUCAAACUGCGAAUGUCAUUAAGGAUGUCCGGCAGUCAGACUGUGAGUGAUAAGGUCCAUGGUCAAGAGGGAAACAGCCCAGACCGCCAGUUAAGGUCCCAAAAUACAGGCUAAGUGGAAAAGGAUGUGGGGAUGCCCAGACAACUAGGAGGUUGGCUCAGAAGCAGCCAUCCUUUAAAGAGUGCGUAACAGCUCACUAGUCGAGUGACCCUGCGCCGAAAAUGUACCGGGGCUAAGCCUGAUACCGAAACUGCGGAUUGUAGGAAACUAUAGUGGUAGGGGAGCGUUGUAUACGAGCAGAAGCCGUACCGUGAGGAGCGGUGGAUUGUAUAGAAGUGAGAAUGCCGGUGUGAGUAGCGAGAUGUAGGUGAGAAUCCUACACACCGAAAGCCCAAGGAUUCCAGGGGAAGGUUCGUCCGCCCUGGGUAAGUCGGGACCUAACGCGAGGCCGAAAGGCGUAGUGGAUGGAAAGCAGGCGAAAGAUUCCUGCACCCGUAUAUGGAGCGAAGGAGUGACGGAGACGGAUAGUGUGACCCUCUUAAUGGAUUGAGGGCGAAGCGAAGCGGCUGGUUACCAGGCAAAUCCGGUAACCAAAAGGCUAGAGCGUGACAGGUAAGCGAAAUCCAAGGAAAGUAGCGAAGCACAUGAUGACGGCUUCCAGGAAAAGCUUCUGGCAAUGCAUAUGCGGCCCGUACCAAAACCGACACAGGUGGGCAGGGAGAGAAUCCCGAGGUGAGCGAGAGAACUGUUGCCAAGGAACUCGGCAAAAUGACUCCGUAAGUUAGCGAGAAGGAGUGCUUAAGCAAUUAAGCCGCAGUGAAGAGGCCCAAGCGACUGUUUAACUAAAACACAGCUCUCUGCGAAGUCGCAAGACGAAGUAUAGGGGGUGACACCUGCCCGGUGCUGGAAGGUUAAGAGGAUCUGUUAAGAGCGAUCUGAAGCAGUGAUCCGAAGCCCCAGUGAACGGCGGCCGUAACUAUAACGGUCCUAAGGUAGCGAAAUUCCUUGUCAGGUAAGUUCUGACCCGCACGAAAGGUGUAACGAUUUGGGCGCUGUCUCGGCAGCAGACUCGGUGAAAUCUUAGUACCUGUGAAAAUGCAGGUUACCCGCAACUAGACGGAAAGACCCCAUGGAGCUUUACUGCAGCCUGAUAUUGAAUUCUGGUCAUACAUGUACAGGAUAGGUGGGAGACAAAGAGACGUGCACGCCAGUGUACGAGGAGUCGACGUUGGGAUACCACUCUUGUGUGACCGGGGUUCUAACCUGGUAUCGAGAACAGGUACGGGGAGAGUGUCAGGUGGGCAGUUUGACUGGGGCGGUCGCCUCCCAAAGAGUAACGGAGGCGCCCAAAGGUA